RNAcentral lists this small RNA (825 nucleotides) under Drosophila pseudoobscura pseudoobscura. RNAcentral's name for it is "GA30907". Lineage: Eukaryota; Metazoa; Arthropoda; Insecta; Diptera; Drosophilidae. The record is from RNAcentral.
UAUCCGGGUAGCCGGGCGCCCGGGUAGUACCUCGGUACGGGCAUGAUUCCGGGUCGAUGGCAAAUCAAAAAGGAAUCGCGCAGGCAGCUUGUCUGAGUUUGUCCUGAAGGGUGUCCUGGAGGACUGGAGCAGGAGCUGGAGCCGGUUUCGGUGGCAAAGCAACGGUAAGCAAACACAAACACCAGGACACCGGGAGACUGCGGACAAGGACGAGUACACGGACCAGAACACGCACUCAGCCAUGGGCGAAUGGGUUUUCGGGAAUGAGUCUGAAACGAGUGCAUCACAAUGAGGCAGGAGGACCUGCGCCUGGACCUGGACCUGGACCUGGUGCUGCAGCACUCAACGCUGCGUAUACGUAAUAUUUGAAGAGCCAUCGAUGCAAAAAAUGGUGAAUCAGUGUUUUUACUGGUUUUAUUAUUUGCACAUUUGCACCGAAAACUCAUUCGCAUCUGCUUUUCCUCCAACGAGUGUGGAAAAUACCAAAAACCGAAUGAAAUCGCACAACAAAAAGGAACAGCAAGGAGAGACAGUGCGUCCCGCUUGCGGAUGGUCUAUGAAAAAACCAUUUAACUUUGUGCACUCGCAGGCAAAACCGGCACACCGCAUCACACAUUAAACAUAGGCAAACACAGGCGGAGGACACUCGCCCAGGAGCUGUGAGAGAGCUGCAGAGAGGGGGAACGCAGGGAGUCACACGCUCGACAAAAUGCGAAUUUGUGGCCUGGCCCCCGGCAGACAUCCUUUGCCCCAGUUCGAAACAGGAGGGAAUAUGCCCCAGUUGAAUGUACUAUUUUGUUGCUCACAUAAUUAAAACGAGAUCAA